RNAcentral lists this ribosomal RNA (425 nucleotides) under uncultured bacterium. Its description in RNAcentral is "bacterial SSU rRNA". It matches the Rfam family "Bacterial small subunit ribosomal RNA", at positions 29 to 416 of the family's 1533-position model. The record is from RNAcentral.
AUUGAACGCUGGCGGCAUGCUUUACACAUGCAAGUCGAACGGCAGCACAGCAGAGGUAACUCUGUGGGUGGCGAGUGGCGAACGGGUGAGUAAUACAUCGGAACGUACCCUGUUGUGGGGGAUAACUACGCGAAAGCGUAGCUAAUACCGCAUACGCCCUGAGGGGGAAAGCGGGGGGACCCUAAAUAGAGCGCACUGGGGAGUGCGUUGUAUUUAGGGCCUCGCGCAAUAGGAGCGGCCGAUGUCGGAUUAGCUAGUUGGUGAGGUAAAGGCUUACCAAGGCGACGAUCCGUAGCUGGUCUGAGAGGAUGAUCAGCCACACUGGGACUGAGACACGGCCCAGACUCCUACGGGAGGCAGCAGUGGGGAAUUUUGGACAAUGGGGGCAACCCUGAUCCAGCCAUGCCGCGUGAGUGAAGAAGGCC